GUUCACGUAGCUCAGUGGCAGAGCGCCGACCUGACUCGUCGGAUGUCGGAGGUUCAAAUCCUCUCGUGAACAC
This 73-nucleotide transfer RNA is filed under the name Microbacterium phage Big4. RNAcentral's name for it is "tRNA-Val". It matches the Rfam family "tRNA". From Rfam's summary of the family: Transfer RNA (tRNA) molecules are approximately 80 nucleotides in length. Their secondary structure includes four short double-helical elements and three loops (D, anti-codon, and T loops). The record is from RNAcentral. Lineage: Duplodnaviria; Heunggongvirae; Uroviricota; Caudoviricetes.